UCCUCGGUGGCGCAAUUGGCUAGCGCGUCUGACUGUUACUACCCGAUCAGGGAAGUUGAUAUCAGGAGGUUGAAAGUUCGAGCCUUUCCCGGGGAG
This 96-nucleotide transfer RNA is filed under the name Hypoxylon rubiginosum. RNAcentral's name for it is "tRNA-Asn". It matches the Rfam family "tRNA". Rfam says of the family: Transfer RNA (tRNA) molecules are approximately 80 nucleotides in length. The record is from RNAcentral. Lineage: Eukaryota; Fungi; Ascomycota; Sordariomycetes; Xylariales; Hypoxylaceae.